Molecule: ribosomal RNA, 460 nt
Filed under: uncultured rumen archaeon
Lineage: Archaea
Description: bacterial SSU rRNA
Rfam family: Archaeal small subunit ribosomal RNA
Source: RNAcentral
UGGGAAACUGGGGAUAAUACCGGAUAGGCAAUUAUUCCUGCAAUGGUUUUUUGUUUAAAUGUUUUUUCGCCUAAGGAUGGGUCUGCGGCCGAUUAGGUAGUUGGUUAGGUAAUGGCUUACCAAGCCGUUGAUCGGUACGGGUUGUGAGAGCAAGAGCCCGGAGAUGGAACCUGAGACAAGGUUCCAGGCCCUACGGGGUGCAGCAGGCGCGAAACCUCCGCAAUGUGAGAAAUCGCGACGGGGGGAUCCCAAGUGCCAUUCUUAACGGGAUGGCUUUUCAUUAGUGUAAAAAGCUUUUGGAAUAAGAGCUGGGCAAGACCGGUGCCAGCCGCCGCGGUAACACCGGCAGCUCUAGUGGUAGCAAUUUUUAUUGGGCCUAAAGCGUCCGUAGCCGGUUUAAUAAGUCUCUGGUGAAAUCCUGUAGCUUAACUGUGGGAAUUGCUGGAGAUACUAUUAGACU